Molecule: small RNA, 2458 nt
Filed under: Histoplasma capsulatum var. duboisii H88
Lineage: Eukaryota; Fungi; Ascomycota; Eurotiomycetes; Onygenales; Ajellomycetaceae
Description: Histoplasma capsulatum H88 hypothetical RNA
Source: RNAcentral
AGAAAAACCUUGCUGCGACUGUCUCUCUUCUGCCCCGCUUGCUCUUCCUUAGACCCCUAACUUAUCCGUCUAGCUACUGCAGCUGUUCGGCUAGUUCCUUGGGGAGGAAAAGGGGGCUGAAAGAGCUGUCCCCAUGCACUCAGGCAUGAAAUUUGAAGGACAACGCAGAUGACCUCGCUCCAACGUUCCCCUUCCAGUUCUUUUCCAGGAGCGAUGAGCAGAGGAGACAGGAGAGGCUUGUAGCUGGCAUUCUGGUAUUCUUGCUGUUGAAGUUCUGGCUGAUGAUAUAUAUAUGCUGAGGAUCGGAGUUAACUAACCUGCAUAUAUUCAUACAUAGUACGAGUUACUGGACUUGAGUGAUGCUGUUUUGUGCGGCGGUAUUUAUGUUUUUGCAGCGUUUCAAAACGCGUAAUUUUAUUUUUCUUUGUAUUUUGCGCAUUUUUCUUCCUCAUCUUUUUUUCAAGAGCAUACUAUACAACCAGAGACCAGAAUCAUAGAAUAGAUGAUAUCUUAUCAUGGUAUCAGGCAAAUUCCUGUUGCCAUUCUGGCUCAGGGAUCGAAAUCCUUGCCCUUGUAUCAAUUCUUUUUCUUCUUUUCUGUGUGUAAUUUGACACAAAUGGAAUCAUUCACACAUCUUUAGCUGUUUCAAAAUCCUCGAAAACUAAAAAAAGAAAAGAAAGAAAGAAAGAAAGAAACGUUGUUUCCCAUGAAGUCCUUUGUGCAGGUACAGGUUCGUGAGUCAUAUUAAGAUGUUCAUCCAUUCAUUACAUCUGGGCAUAACAAAAUAGUCUCGUUGUUGACAUUAUCAGGACCCUCUCCCCUUGACCCCUUUUGGCCCCUUUUCAUGUUGCUGAGUGGCCCUGGCGCUGAGUGGAGCAACAGCUGAAGAUACCAUGAAGUAUGGCAUCGAUAAUUGAUGCAAGUGAUAAGGGGCCGGCCCCCGCCCAUGCCGAUAUGUGCGUUGGGAACUUGGGAUUGGUGGCUGUUGUCAAUGAAAUGGCCGAAAAAAGGCACUUGAGCACUUGACGCGCAUGGGAAGGAAUGAACGGACAAUUCUGAGUGGUUGGCGGCAAGUCGAGGGUCACCUCUGCUGUCCUGAGGCUUUGGGAGCCCCAGCGGAGUGCAGGAUAUAAAACUGGGAAAGAUAUAGAGGGUUUGAUGAGGUUGGUGAGCUAUUCGAUUCGACUAAACCCUGAAAGCCAUUCAUCAUACCAGCCAAAGUUCUCCUGCCCGCCUUAAAGCAGAUUUACUCCAUUCAGGAUGAACAGGAAUGCAUCCCUAAAUGAAACAACUGCCGAGAUCUACGUCAUGUCUAAGAAGGAGAACUGAGCAAAUUAAAACAGCAAUAGCAUGCAGAAACGACGGUUCCUUAUUCCUCUCCGAACACUUGGUGUAGUUAUAUUCUGACACGUCUACAGUUAUAUUAUCAUGCAGCCCGCCCGCCGUUAUCGAUCCUUUUCCCCUAUCUAAUUGGUAGUGGCAGCUCCAGCGGCAACGUAACUGGCUCAUCUCCAUCAUGCUGUACUGCCACUCAGGCAGUGGUUGGCUCACAGCAUAAAACAACAUACGUACUGGCAGAUUGAGAGAACCAAGCGAUCGCCAAGGGAAAAUAAAAAUUACUCGUCCAUCCCGGCCAAUCAAUCACCACUUCCGUCAUCGUUCUUACUAUCAUCCAUCGUCACCGUUAUCGUUAUAUCAACCCCCUAUUCCGUAUAAAUUUCGUGCUUUAGGUAUAUAUAUAGGUCGGAUUUUAAAUCCAACCUAUAGCUCGACGCGGGCAACAUUCUUCGGAGAUAAAACAGGAUUCCAGACAAACCUCCCCAUUUGCUUUCUUACUUUCUGUAUCUCUCUGCUUUCUGCUUCCCUACCUAGACGUCCCGUUUAGAGAAGAAACUCGUAUCAUUCAGUGACUUUAUAUGACAAUAUUGCGAGCAAACAUAUCAGCGGGAAUUCACACCACCUUUUUUUUUUUUGGGGAUCGGGACGGGGGAAGGGCAUGAUAUAAUCUAGUACCCCCUGGAUACCAACUUCUGAUCCCUCCCCUCUUAUUUAUUCGCUUUCAUUUCAACUUUAUUGGUCCUCCGCCUAGCUAGAAUCACCAAAUGAAUUGAAAUGCGACACUACCCCUGGGCUUGCGUUUGAAUUUUGCCUGUACAUUUCCUCCACCUCUUCGCCCUACCAACCCCCAUUAUUCGGUCCUCUCCUUUUACCUCCCAUAUUUCCCCCUCUAUUUCCUUACUCCUAUUCCCUCUAAUUCCGAGACGAGAAUAUGUAGGAUGCAGAUUGCAUGCAUGCAUGCACGUCAGGUCCCAAUUGAAAUAAUUCUGCCAGAGCUCACGGAUUGCCUGGAAGCCUAUCGAUAAGGGGGCUGCGCGUCUGUGCAUGGGAUAUUGCUAGGAGGCUGGUGUGCUUAAAUGGCCUUUCUGGAUGCAUGCAGUAGCUAUGGUUUAGAGGUUGC